RNAcentral lists this ribosomal RNA (497 nucleotides) under uncultured bacterium. RNAcentral describes it as "partial 16S ribosomal RNA". It matches the Rfam family "Bacterial small subunit ribosomal RNA", at positions 28 to 507 of the family's 1533-position model. The record is from RNAcentral.
GAUGAACGCUGGCGGCGUGCCUAAUACAUGCGAGUCGAGCGAACGGACGAGAAGCUUGCUUUUCUGAUGUUAGCGGCGGACGGGUGAGUAACACGUGGAUAACCUACCUAUAAGACUGGGAUAACUUCGGGAAACCGGAGCUAAUACCGGAUAAUAUUUUGAACCGCAUGGUUCAAAAGUGAAAGACGGUCUUGCUGUCACUUAUAGAUGGAUCCGCGCUGCAUUAGCUAGUUGGUAAGGUAACGGCUUACCAAGGCAACGAUGCAUAGCCGACCUGAGAGGCGGAUCGGCCACACUGGAACUGAGACACGGUCCAGACUCCUACGGGAGGCAGCAGUAGGGAAUCUUCCGCAAUGGGCGAAAGCCUGACGGAGCAACGCCGCGUGAGUGAUGAAGGUCUUCGGAUCGUAAAACUCUGUUAUUAGGGAAGAACAUAUGUGUAAGUAACUGUGCACAUCUUGACGGUACCUAAUCAGAAAGCCACGGCUAACUACGUG